ACCAAAAAACAACAAGUGCUGGCAAGAAGGUCUCUAUUUUGAUAUCUUCUUUGACCCGUCAAGUUUUCUCCAGACUAUCUUGUAUCAAUCAGUGAAACCAACCAAAGCUAGAAGACACAUCUCUGUCAUGGGCAAUGCUGAUGUGGAUUUCAAUUUCGCUGACAGGAUAA
Molecule: long non-coding RNA, 170 nt
Organism: Rhinolophus ferrumequinum (greater horseshoe bat)
Lineage: Eukaryota; Metazoa; Chordata; Mammalia; Chiroptera; Rhinolophidae
Exons: 3
Source: RefSeq, a predicted model, not a curated record